CAAAGGGUUAACUGUUUGUCUCCUUGUGUCAGUUCCUCAGUUGGUAUGGAUUAGUGUAGCUGACUUCAGCAGAACCAGCUCUAUUUUCAGCAGCUCAGAAUAUAGUCUCUUGGGCUGUUUUAGUAUUAAACAAACUUGUUCAAUUAGCAACAAUUACUUCUGACAGUGAAAGGAUAACAGAGGAUUCUGCUCGCAGGAGUGCUUCAUGCCAGUUUGUGUUUGCUUACUUCACCACUGAGAGCAGUAAAUCAGUGCAAAAAUUUUGGCACCAAGUUGGCAUUUAUAGUUGAAAACAGAUACCCUGUAACUUACAGCUUGAUAUCCAGCUUGAGUGAUAUCAUGGUCUAAACAUGUUCCAAAAUAAUGGAAAGAGCACAAGAAACAAUCAAAGUGUGGGUCCUUCCGGUGAAAUGCACUGCAUAUGUCUGACUAUCACAUAUUUCUGGGAGCUAUAGCUGAUUAACACAUUUGGCUGUUACUUGGAAGAGCAGUAGGUGAUAUCUGCUCAAGGACAGAACUCGUGUUUUUGGAGAGUAUCACGGGAUGUCGUGCCAAAGGUGGCAGGAACUGGACUCACUUUCCACUCCAGCGUGCCAACGACUGAUUCACCUAACGUAUGAAAUUGAAUAAUACCUGGUGACAAUUUUUUUUUCAUUCCUCUGGAUUUCUUACAAUUUUAUUUUAAUCAUUUCAGUGUAUUUUAUAAUUAGUUUAUUUUUUUAUUGUUAAUAUAUUAAUUAAAAAGCUA
Molecule: long non-coding RNA, 748 nt
Filed under: Anas platyrhynchos platyrhynchos (common mallard)
Lineage: Eukaryota; Metazoa; Chordata; Aves; Anseriformes; Anatidae
Description: lncRNA (ENSAPLG00000018074.1)
Source: RNAcentral